This 433-nucleotide ribosomal RNA is filed under the name uncultured bacterium. Its description in RNAcentral is "bacterial SSU rRNA". It matches the Rfam family "Bacterial small subunit ribosomal RNA", at positions 958 to 1392 of the family's 1533-position model. The record is from RNAcentral.
AACGCGAAGAACCUUACCUGCCCUUGACAUCCUCGGAACCCUGCAGAGAUGCGGGGGUGCCUUCGGGAACCGAGUGACAGGUGCUGCAUGGCUAUCGUCAGCUCGUGUCGUGAGAUGUUGGGUUAAGUCCCGCAACGAGCGCAACCCUUGCCCCUAGUUGCCAGCGGUUCGGCCGGGAACUCUAGGGAGACUGCCGGUGACAAACCGGAGGAAGGUGGGGAUGACGUCAAGUCAUCAUGGCCCUUAUGGGCAGGGCUACACACGUGCUACAAUGGCGAAUACAAAGGGCUGCGAGCUCGCGAGAGUCAGCCAAUCCCGGAAAAUUCGUCGUAGUCCGGAUCGGAGUCUGCAACUCGACUCCGUGAAGUCGGAAUCGCUAGUAAUCGCGAAUCAGAACGUCGCGGUGAAUACGUUCCCGGGUCUUUACACACCG